UACGUAGGUGGCAAGCGUUGUCCGGAAUUAUUGGGCGUAAAGCGCGCGCAGGCGGCUUUCUAAGUCCAUCUUAAAAGUGCGGGGCUUAACCUCGUGAUGGGAUGGAAACUGGGAAGCUGGAGUAUCGGAGAGGAAAGUGGAAUUCCUAGUGUAGCGGUGAAAUGCGUAGAGAUUAGGAAGAACACCGGUGGCGAAGGCGACUUUCUGGACGACAACUGACGCUGAGGCGCGAAAGCGUGGGGAGCAAACAGG
This 252-nucleotide ribosomal RNA is filed under the name Dialister succinatiphilus YIT 11850. RNAcentral describes it as "partial 16S ribosomal RNA". It matches the Rfam family "Bacterial small subunit ribosomal RNA", at positions 524 to 776 of the family's 1533-position model. The record is from RNAcentral. Lineage: Bacteria; Bacillati; Bacillota; Negativicutes; Veillonellales; Veillonellaceae.